RNAcentral lists this ribosomal RNA (495 nucleotides) under uncultured bacterium. RNAcentral describes it as "partial 16S ribosomal RNA". It matches the Rfam family "Bacterial small subunit ribosomal RNA", at positions 28 to 507 of the family's 1533-position model. The record is from RNAcentral.
GAUGAACGCUGGCGGCGUGCCUAAUACAUGCAAGUAGAACGCUGAAGGAGGAGCUUGCUCUUCUGGAUGAGUUGCGAACGGGUGAGUAACGCGUAGGUAACCUGCCUGGUAGCGGGGGAUAACUAUUGGAAACGAUAGCUAAUACCGCAUGACAACAGUUAUUGCAUGAUAACUGUUUAAAAGGGGCAACUGCUCCACUACCAGAUGGACCUGCGUUGUAUUAGCUAGUUGGUGAGGUAACGGCUCACCAAGGCGACGAUACAUAGCCGACCUGAGAGGGGGAUCGGCCACACUGGGACUGAGACACGGCCCAGACUCCUACGGGAGGCAGCAGUAGGGAAUCUUCGGCAAUAGACGGAAGUCUGACCGAGCAACGCCGCGUGAGUGAAGAAGGGUUUCGGAUCGUAAAGCUCUGUUGUAAGAGAAGAACGAGUGUGAGAGUGGAAAGUGCACACUGUGACGGUAUCUUACCAGAAAGGGACGGCUAACUACGUG